ACACUCCUGCGGGAGGCAGCAGUGGGGAAUAUUGCACAAUGGGCGCAAGCCUGAUGCAGCCAUGCCGCGUGUAUGAAGAAGGCCUUCGGGUUGUAAAGUACUUUCAGCGGGGAGGAAGGCGAUAAGGUUAAUAACCUUGUUGAUUGACGUUACCCGCAGAAGAAGCACCAGCUAACUCCGUGCCAGCAGCCGCGGUAAUACGGAGGGUGCAAGCGUUAAUCGGAAUUACUGGGCGUAAAGCGCACGCAGGCGGUCUGUCAAGUCGGAUGUGAAAUCCCCGGGCUCAACCUGGGAACUGCAUUCGAAACUGGCAGGCUAGAGUCUUGUAGAGGGGGGUAGAAUUCCAGGUGUAGCGGUGAAAUGCGUAGAGAUCUGGAGGAAUACCGGUGGCGAAGGCGGCCCCCUGGACAAAGACUGACGCUCAGGUGCGAAAGCGUGGGGAGCAAACAGGAUUAGAUACCCCAGUAGUCCCAUGA
RNAcentral lists this ribosomal RNA (476 nucleotides) under uncultured organism. Its description in RNAcentral is "partial 16S ribosomal RNA". It matches the Rfam family "Bacterial small subunit ribosomal RNA", at positions 333 to 800 of the family's 1533-position model. The record is from RNAcentral.